AGAAAUGGAAAGAUACUUCGUGCUCAUGGAUUGAAGAAUUAACAUAGUUAAUAUGUCUGUAUUACCUAAAACAUAAUGAGUGUAAUCCCUGUCAAAAUCCCAAUGAUGGGAGUUCCCAUCAUGACUCAGUGGUAACAAACCCAACUAGUAUCCUUGAGGUUGUGGGUUUGAUCUUUAAGGGUAUGAUAACUCCUUAACCUCACUCAACGGGUUAAGGAUCUGGCAUUGCCAUGAGCUGUGGUGUAGAUUGCAGACAUGGCUCAGAUCCCACAUUGUUGUGGCUGUGGUGUAGGCCGGCAGCUACAGUUCCAAUUCGACCCCUAGUCCAGGAACUUCCACACACCAUGGGUGCAACCCUGGGGAAAAAGAAAGAAAAAAAAUAGUAUCUUUUACAGAAAUAGAAAAAAAAAAAUCUUAAAAUCUACAUGGGACCACAAAAGACCCUGAAUAGCCAAAGCACUCCUGAGAAAAAAGAACAAAGUUUGAGGGAUCACAGGCCCCAAUUUCAAACUAUAUUACAAAGCUAUAGUAACCAAAACAGCAUGGUAUUUCCCCCCAAAAAAGAUACAUAGAUCAAUAUAACAGAAUACAGACCUCAGAAGUAAUCCCACACAUAUAUGGACAAUUAACUUAUAAUAAAGAAGAAAAAAUAUACAACAGAGAAAGGAUAAUUUCUUAAGUAAAUGUUUUUGGAAGAACUGGACAGCCAUGCUCAAAAAAUAAAACUAGACCACUAUCUCACACCAUACACAAAAUCAACUCAAAGUGGAUUAGACUUGAAAGUAAGACCUAAAACCCUAAAGCUCCUAUAAGAAAAGGUAGGCAGUACGCUCUGACAUUGGUGUUACCAAAAUCUUCCUGAAUGUCUCCUCAGGCAAGGGAAAUGCAAAUAAAAAUAAAUAAAUGUGACUACAUCAAACUAAAGAGCUUCUGCACAACAAAGAAAACCAUCAACAAAACAAAAAAACCUGCAAAAUAGAAGAUAUUUGCAAAUCAUAAGUCUGAUAAAGGGUUUAUAUUCAAAAUAUAUAAAGAACUCAUAGAACUUAACAAAAUUUCCAGUAAAAUAAACUAAAAGAACUCCCUAUAUCAUCAAAUUGACAUGAACAAUAAACUUGUUUUAAAAAGUAAAAACUCAGGAGUUCCCUUCAUGGCACAGUGAAAAUGAAUCCGACUAGCAUCCAAGAGGAUGAAGGUUCCCAGGCUAGGGGUCGAAUCAGAGCUGUAGCCUCCGGCCUACGCCAGAGCCACAGCAACGCAGGAUCCGAGCCACAUCUGCAACCUACACCACAGCUCACGGCAACGCCAGAUCGUUAACCCACUGAGCAAGGGCAGGGACCGAACCCUCAACCUCAUGGUUCCUAGUCGGAUUCGUUAACCACUGUGCCACGACGGGAACUCCAGAAUACUAUCUUAUUAAUAGUGAUUGCUAUGAAUGUUCUGGGUUCAUUAGCAACAAAAUAACUCUGCAAACAAUCAAGUUAUGACAGUUUUACAUCAGCGUUACUAGAUUUUUCCAACAGAAAAUCAGUUAAUUGAUAAUCAUUUGAUUUUGUUUUUAACUCAAUUCAUAGGAUCAAAGUAAAGCUUUUGAAAGUUUAUCCUUCAGAGGCGAAAUUUCUGAUAUUACUAUAAACACUAUUGUAGGUUUAAAAAUUCAAUGAUAAUAUGUUUUCUUGUGCUUAUACAGAUACAAGUUUUAUUGGACCAUGAGUGUUGUAAUAAAAAAUAAUUUAUUAAAACAAAUAAAGGGCACAAAAUGUUUUUAGAAUUGAUAAUAAUAAUUUAGAAUUGAUCCAUAAUAAUCCAUAAUUGUUGCCCAGUCUGAUAUAUUUUACCAAUUAAAUUGAACCUAUCAUUAUCAACUGUCACAUAUAUAUGUGAAUAAAUGAAUGUAAAAGUUUUGUGAAGGAAAUAUCUUUUAAUGAUAUUGGACAUAUUUACAAAUUAAUUCUACGUUCUGCUACAUUUUUAGCUUUAUUCCCCUAGUUAAAUAACUUUGUAUCUCAAACUUUCUUUUACUUUUCCCUGAAUAAAUUUGAAUUCUUUAAUAAAAACAUUUAAUGAAUAGUCCUAAACUUCUAUUUUUAACACUUUUGCAAGUACUUAUUUAAAACACAAUUUAUAAACAGACUGUAAGGAAAAGAGCUGAUCAAAGUAAUUGAUUAAAGGACAUACAAUGUACAAAAUGAAAUUUUGUAGUUCUAAAAUUGUGCUUUAGGAGUUCCCAUCGUGGCUCAGUGGUUAAUGAAUAUGACUAGGAACCAUGAGGUUGCGGGUUCAAUCCUUGGUCUCACUCAGUGAGUUAAGGAUCCGGCUUUGCCGUGAGCUGUGGUUUAGGUCACAGACACAGCUCUGUGGCUAUGCAUUGCUGUGGCUGUGGCGUAGAGGUCCGAUUAGACCCCUAGCCUGGGAACCUCCAUAUGCUGUAGGAGCGGCCCUAGAAAAGGCAAAAAACAAAAAAAAAUAAAAUAAAAUUGUGUUUUAGACUAACUUGACAUAUGGAAAAUUUAUUUUAAUACAGAUCCUAUUUGAAAUAGGUAAACUUAUGUUCUGUACCUGAAUUAAAAAUAACUGAAAACACCUAUAGUUUUCCAGCAACAGAAAUUAUCAAAUGUUAAAAAAGAAAUCAAUAUGAUUUAUAUGAAUUUCUUAUAUAAAUAUUUUUCAAGAAAUAUAAUGUAAAGAAAAGCAAAAAUGUAGUACAUGUGAUAUUUAGAAUAAAAAAUGUACACAGGUAAAUUAAAAAAAUGAAUUAAGAAUAUACUUAGCACAAUUUUCCAUGUACUUAUUAAGAGAAUAUUUUCUCAUUAAAAAUAUUAUGAUUUACAGUCAGUUGAUGAAGAUUGCACAUAAAUUUGUUGAGACUAAAAUGUUUAUGAGCAAUUUGAAAGAUAUCCUACAGAAAAAUAACACUGACAUAAUAAUAGAGAUGGAUACUCACAGGAAACUACAUAAAGUACAUGAAUAAACAUAGCUACAUACUGAUAUGCAUAAACAUACUAAUAUAUUCACCAGGAAUACUUAUACUGUGUAUUAUUUUAUAAUUAAAGUAAGCAAUUAAAAGAAAAUUUUAAUGUUUCCUUCAAUUUUAAUGUUUCCUUGGAUAUAUAUUUUUAUUUGAAAAAAAUUAGAACAAUAACAAGCAAUUCAUUGAUCAGUAACAUUUCAAAAUGUUUUGAGCUUAAUUUUUUUAUUACCCAUUUUGUUCUAAAAACUAUUUCAGUUUAUAUGAUAAAUUAUAUGUUUACCCUAAGUAUAAAGUAAAUACAAACCAAAUCUCUACUUGGGGAAAUAAAGCUUCACUAAAAAGAUAUUACUGAGGUGGGUAUUAAAAACUGAAUUUAGGGAGUUCCCAUUGUGGCUCAGCAGUAAAGAACCCAACUAGUAUCUGUGAGGAUGAGGGUUAGAUCCUUGGCCUCACUCAGUGGGUUAAGAAGCUGGCGUUGUCUUGAGCUGUGUUGUAGGUCUCAGAUGCAACUUGGAUCUGGCGGAUCUGGCAUAGCUGUGACCGUGGCCUGAAGCUGCAGCUCUGAUUUGACCCCUAUGCUGGGAACUUCCAUAUGCUGCACGUGUGGCCCUAAAAAAGAAAAA
Molecule: long non-coding RNA, 3594 nt
Filed under: Sus scrofa (pig)
Lineage: Eukaryota; Metazoa; Chordata; Mammalia; Artiodactyla; Suidae
Description: lncRNA (ENSSSCG00015022711.1)
Source: RNAcentral